This 465-nucleotide ribosomal RNA is filed under the name uncultured bacterium. RNAcentral describes it as "partial 16S ribosomal RNA". It matches the Rfam family "Bacterial small subunit ribosomal RNA", at positions 28 to 507 of the family's 1533-position model. The record is from RNAcentral.
GACGAACGCUGGCGGCGUGCUUAACACAUGCAAGUCGAACGGAAAGGCCCCUUUGGGGGUACUCGAGUGGCGAACGGGUGAGUAACACGUGAGUAACCUGCCCUUGACUUCGGGAUAACUUCAGGAAACUGGGGCUAAUACCGGAUAGGAAUCCUUGCUGCAUGGUGGGGGUUGGAAAGCUUCGGCGGUUUUGGAUGGACUCGCGGCUUAUCAGCUUGUUGGUGGGGUAGUGGCUUACCAAGGCUUUGACGGGUAGCCGGCCUGAGAGGGCGACCGGCCACAUUGGGACUGAGAUACGGCCCAGACUCCUACGGGAGGCAGCAGUGGGGAAUAUUGCACAAUGGGCGGAAGCCUGAUGCAGCAACGCCGCGUGCGGGAUGACGGCCUUCGGGUUGUAAACCGCUUUCAGCAGGGGCGAAGCUUGUGGUGACGGUACCUGCAGCAGAAGCACCGGCUAACUACGUG